Molecule: transfer RNA, 94 nt
Filed under: Aureobasidium subglaciale EXF-2481
Lineage: Eukaryota; Fungi; Ascomycota; Dothideomycetes; Dothideales; Saccotheciaceae
Rfam family: tRNA
About the family: Transfer RNA (tRNA) molecules are approximately 80 nucleotides in length.
Source: Rfam by way of RNAcentral
GGGGUUGUGGUCUAGUGGUAUGACAUCUUCUUAGCAUUGCUCUUAGAGCAUUACUGAGUGGAGAAGGUUCUGGGUUCGAUUCCCAGCUACUCCA